AACGCACAUUGCGCCCGCCAGUAUUCUGGCGGGCAUGCCUGUUCGAGCGUCAUUUCAACCACUCAGGCCCUGGUGCCUGGCGUCGGGGUAUUUCUGUAACAAGAAAUCCCCUAGAAUCAGUGGCGGACCCGCCGCGGCUCCGAGCGUAGUAGUAAAAUAUCUCGCUAUGGAGGUCCGUGGGGGGCUAACCGGCCGUAAAACCUCUUCUUUACUGAAGAACUUCUCAAGGUUGACCUCGGAUCAGGUAGGAAUACCCGCUGAACUUAA
This 267-nucleotide unclassified non-coding RNA is filed under the name uncultured Sordariomycetes. RNAcentral describes it as "sequence contains ITS2". The stretch from base 1 to 52 matches the Rfam family "5.8S ribosomal RNA", at positions 103 to 154 of the family's 154-position model. The record is from RNAcentral. Lineage: Eukaryota; Fungi; Ascomycota; Sordariomycetes.